UCGAUUAACGCGAAGAACCUUACCUACCCCUUGACAUGCCAGGAAUCCUGCAGAGAUGUGGGAGUGCCCGAAAGGGAAUCUGGACACAGGUGCUGCAUGGCGUGUCGUCAGCUCGUGUCGUGAGAUGUUGGGUUAAGUCCCGCAACGAGCGCAACCCUUAUCAUUAGUUGCUACGCAAGGGCACUCUAAUGAGACUGCCGGUGACAAACCGGAGGAAGGUGGGGAUGACGUCAAGUCAUCAUGGCCCUUAUGGGUAGGGCUUCACACGUCAUACAAUGGUCGGUACAGAGGGUCGCCAACCCGCGAGGGGGAGCCAAUCCCAGAAAACCGAUCGUAGUCCGCAGUCUGCAACUCGACUGCAUGAAGUCGGAUCGCUAGUAAUU
Molecule: ribosomal RNA, 383 nt
Filed under: uncultured bacterium
Lineage: Bacteria
Description: bacterial SSU rRNA
Rfam family: Bacterial small subunit ribosomal RNA
Source: RNAcentral